Epinephelus lanceolatus (giant grouper) is the source of this 413-nucleotide non-coding RNA. Lineage: Eukaryota; Metazoa; Chordata; Actinopteri; Perciformes; Serranidae. The record is from RefSeq and is a predicted model, not a curated record.
AUGAAUCUGUGGACAUGACUAAAACUUUUUCAGCACAGUCACAUUCAUCUUUUCUGUCACUUGUAUCUGGACUGACAGACACUAAAGUCAGUUCAGUCAGGAGAGACUCCAUUUAAGAGAGAAAUACAUUUAUUGACAUGGUGCACAAUAAAGUUUAGAAAUGUCAAGAGGUGAGUAGAGCCUGAAAAACAGGAGGAAGUGUUUGAGGAAUAUUUAGGAUAACACUCACCCUGGGGUGUCGAACUCACAAGACAGGAGACAGGAUGGAUCUUUAACCAUUUAGUGACUAAUAAGCAAACUCUUGGAUAAAAACAUUGUUUAGUCUUAAUUAGAUUAUUAGAUGAUUAAAAUCAUCACUGUGUCUUUAGAGGUUACCAUAAAACCCAAAUGUUCAAAUGAUGUCAAAUCAGAAU